UUGGACAAUGGGGGCAACCCUGAUCCAGCCAUGCCGCGCGUGUGAAGAUGGUCUUCGGAUUUUAAAGCACUCUAAGUUUGGUGGAGGGGUUUUAGGCCAAUACUCUGAAGUUUUGACGUUACCAACAGAAUAAGAACCGGCUCACUCUGUGCCAGCAGCCGCGGUAAUACAGAGGGUGCAAGCGUUAAUCGGAAUUACUGGGCGUAAAGCGCGCGUAGGUGGUUCAGUAAGAUGGGUGUGAAAUCCCCGGGCUUAACCUGGGAGCUGCUUUCAUAACUGCUGAGCUAGAGUACGGUAGAGGGUAGUGGAAUUUCCUGUGUAGCGGUGAAAUGCGUAGAUAUAGGAAGGAACACCAGUGGCGAAGGCGACUACCUGGACUGAUACUGACACUGAGGUGCGAAAGCGUGGGGAGCAAACA
This 418-nucleotide ribosomal RNA is filed under the name uncultured bacterium. RNAcentral's name for it is "partial 16S ribosomal RNA". It matches the Rfam family "Bacterial small subunit ribosomal RNA", at positions 364 to 774 of the family's 1533-position model. The record is from RNAcentral.